AGCUGUACGAGUAGUACUUGGAGGCCUGAGGGGUUUACUCUGGCUCUACGCCUUACAGAAACGGUGACUGGAGCAGAUUGAAAGCAGUUUUACACCCAGGCUAAUGGACGCGCACUCUACCCUUCCCUCCAACUUCAGGAACAGCGUAACAACACGUACUGCUGUGCUGAUUUCCCGCCCCUUCAAGUCCCAUCCUGCACCGCUCCGUCCAGAGCUAGAGCUUAAACAACAAACUUGGAGUCUGCAGGCAGGCAGCUGAUUGUGAUCGUCCCUGUCUUUCCAGCUGGGUACUCGGUGUUCUGAAAUCUUGAAAUGGAAAAGGAAGAACGGCCCUUUAUCCCCACUGCACUCCAGUCUCGGGCGCAACAGUCCAUGGUUAACCAUGCGCAACUGGUGUACAUCUCCGUUUGUACGGCUUUUUUCUUUCUGUACUUCACAUAGAAAUGCUAAGAUUUUAAGGAACCAAAUGACUAACUUCUAGAGCAACAGUGGAGUGGUGAACACUAUUUGGGUGUCAACUAAUUCAGCACUUUAGCAGACAUUGCCAAACUGUUAUAGCACAAUCCAUACUUCACAGCACUGCUCCAGACAGCCACUACUAACUGACUAGAUAUGGCUAGAAUUGCUGAGAGUCAGAGUGUGCUGUAGGAUCAAUCACAUUGAAUGCAACCUCUUACUUUCAAUAUUAAUUUUUUAAAUGAAAUCUUCAUAAUCAGACCAUCAAAGAGUAAAGGAAGAAUACUUGGGUCUGGAAUCAAGAGUUGGAAAUCAAGUGUUGGCUCCAGAUAUUGUCAUUGUCAGUGAUCCACUUGGGGAUCCAACUGUGGGCUCUGAGGGUUUAAAAGUGUUGGUUUUCAGGGGCCCACAUUGUGGAAUAGCGGGUGAAGCUGUUGCCUGUGAUACCAGCAACCCAUAUGGGCACCAGUUCAAGUCCUUGCUGCUGCACUUCUGAUCCAGCUCCCUGCUAAUGCAUCUGGGAAAGUAGUGGAAGUUGGGCUUCUGCACUCAAGGGGGAGACAUGGAUGAAGCUUCUGGCUCCUAGCUUUGGCCUGGCCCAUCCUUAGCCGUUGAGGACAUCUGGAGAAUGAACCAGCGAUUAGAAGUACGCUUGCUCUCUCUCUGUCUCUUCCUCUCUUUCCCUGUGUCCCUCUGUAACUCUUUCUAACAAACAAACAAACAAACAAACCUAGAGCUCAUGCUGUGGCGCAGCAGGUUAAAGCCCUGGUCUGCAGCGCCGGCAUUCCAUUUGGGCACCGAUUCGAGUCCUGGCUGUUCCACUUCUGAUCCAGCUCCCUGCUAAUGCACCUGGGAAAGCAGCAGAGGAUGGCCCAAGUCCUUGGGCCCCUGAACCCACAUGGGAGACCCGGAAGAAGCUCCUGAUUUCAGAUUAGCUCAGCUCUGACCAUUGCAGCCAUUUGGGGAGUGAACCAGUAGAUGGAAGACCUUUCUCUCUGUAUCUACCUCUCUCUGUAACUCUUUUAAAUAAAUAAAAUAUAUCUAAAAAUAAAUAAA
Lepus europaeus (European hare) is the source of this 1512-nucleotide long non-coding RNA. RefSeq lists it as uncharacterized. Lineage: Eukaryota; Metazoa; Chordata; Mammalia; Lagomorpha; Leporidae. The record is from RefSeq and is a predicted model, not a curated record. The transcript has 3 exons.